Long non-coding RNA from Maniola jurtina (meadow brown), 112 nucleotides. RefSeq lists it as uncharacterized. NCBI's taxonomy places the organism in Eukaryota, Metazoa, Arthropoda, Insecta, Lepidoptera, Nymphalidae. The transcript is spliced from 4 exons. The record is from RefSeq and is a predicted model, not a curated record.
UCAAUGUAUACCUCUACGCUAAUCUACGACGUGCUGAUUUCACCAACAUCGAGUGACGUUUAACCUAGGAAUAAAUUGGACGUAAUGACAGUUUCUUUAUUGAAAACCUACC